Molecule: ribosomal RNA, 308 nt
Filed under: uncultured fungus
Lineage: Eukaryota; Fungi
Description: partial 18S ribosomal RNA
Rfam family: Eukaryotic small subunit ribosomal RNA
Source: RNAcentral
UNNNNNUGGNCGCNGGNUUNUUANAGAGACUAUCAACUCAAGUUGAUGGAAGUUUGAGGCAAUAACAGGUCUGUGAUGCCCUUAGAUGUUCUGGGCCGCACGCGCGCUACACUGACAGAGCCAACGAGUUCUUCACCUUGUUCGAAAGAAUUGGGUAAUCUUGUUAAACUCUGUCGUGCUGGGGAUAAAGCAUUGCAAUUAUUGCUUUUCAACGAGGAAUGCCUAGUAAGCGCGUGUCAUCAGCAUGCGUUGAUUACGUCCCUGACCUUUGUACACACCGCCCGUCGCUACUACCGAUUGAAUGGCUC